Non-coding RNA from Actinospica robiniae DSM 44927, 99 nucleotides. NCBI's taxonomy places the organism in Bacteria, Bacillati, Actinomycetota, Actinomycetes, Catenulisporales, Actinospicaceae. The record is from Rfam.
GAGAGCCGGAUGCUCGGUGACGGGCACGUCCGGUUCGGAGGGCGGGCCGGGGAAACGGGCUGGUGGGAACACCAGCGCCGCGCCCCGGUCCGACCCUAC